RNAcentral lists this ribosomal RNA (348 nucleotides) under Staphylococcus arlettae CVD059. RNAcentral describes it as "bacterial LSU rRNA". It matches the Rfam family "Bacterial large subunit ribosomal RNA", at positions 1 to 354 of the family's 2925-position model. Lineage: Bacteria; Bacillati; Bacillota; Bacilli; Caryophanales; Staphylococcaceae. The record is from RNAcentral.
GAUUAAGUUAUUAAGGGCGCACGGUGGAUGCCUUGGCACUAGAAGCCGAUGAAGGACGUUACUAACGACGAUAUGCUUUGGGGAGCUGUAAGUAAGCUGUGAUCCAGAGAUUUCCGAAUGGGAAACCCAGCACGAGUUAUGUCGUGUUAUCGACAUGUGAAUAUAUAUCAUGUCUGAAGGCAUACCCGGAGAACUGAAACAUCUUAGUACCCGGAGGAAGAGAAAGAAAAAUCGAUUCCCUGAGUAGCGGCGAGCGAAACGGGAAGAGCCCAAACCAAUAAGCUUGCUUAUUGGGGUUGUAGGACACUCUAUACGGAGUUACGAAAUGUACAAAAUUAGAAAGAAUUA